GCGCCGGUGGUGGAAGGCGUAGCAUCGCUGCCCGGAAAGCAAAAGGUGUGGGUUCGAGUCCCGCCCGGCGCA
This is a non-coding RNA of Heligmosomoides polygyrus, 72 nucleotides long. Lineage: Eukaryota; Metazoa; Nematoda; Chromadorea; Rhabditida; Heligmosomidae. The record is from Rfam.